This 1402-nucleotide ribosomal RNA is filed under the name uncultured bacterium. Its description in RNAcentral is "16S ribosomal RNA". It matches the Rfam family "Bacterial small subunit ribosomal RNA". The record is from RNAcentral.
AGAGUUUGUUCCUGGCUCAGGAUGAACGCUAGCGGCAGGCUUAACACAUGCAAGUCGCGGGGCAGCGCGGGUAGCAAUACCUGGCGGCGACCGGCGGAAGGGUGCGUAACGCGUGAGCAACAUGCCCGUAUCAGGGGGAUAACCGAUGGAAACGUCGCCUAAUACCCCAUAACAACGAGGGUUGCAUGACCCAUGUUUGAAAGUUACGGCGGAUACGGAUUGGCUCGCGUGACAUUAGCUGGUUGGCGGGGUAACGGCCCACCAAGGCGACGAUGUCUAGGGGUUCUGAGAGGAAGGUCCCCCACACUGGAACUGAGACACGGUCCAGACUCCUACGGGAGGCAGCAGUGAGGAAUAUUGGUCAAUGGGCGCAAGCCUGAACCAGCCAUGCCGCGUGCAGGAAUGAGGCCCUAUGGGUCGUAAACUGCUUUUGCUGCGGAGCAAUAAGGUGUACGUGUGCACCGAUGAGAGUACGCAGCGAAUAAGCAUCGGCUAACUCCGUGCCAGCAGCCGCGGUAAUACGGAGGAUGCGAGCGUUAUUCCGGAUUUAUUGGGUUUAAAGGGUGCGUAGGCUGUUCGUCAAGUUCAAUGGUGGAAAUGCCGGGGGCUCAACCCCGGAAGUGGCCAUUUGAUACUGUUCGGGCUUGAAAUCCUGCUGCCGGUGGGAGGAAUGAGGUAGGGUAAGCGGUGAAAUGCAUAGAUAUUUACUCAGAACACCGAUUGCGAAGGCAUCUCACGAAACAGGCAUUGACGCUGAGGCACGAAAGCGUGGGGAUCAAACAGGAUUAGAUACCCUGGUAGUCCGCACGGUAAACGAUGGAUGCUCGCUGUGCGCCCUUGCGGUGCGCGGCUAAGGGAAACCGUUAAGCAUCCCACCUGGGGAGUACGCCGGCAACGGUGAAACUCAAAGGAAUUGACGGGGGCCCGCACAAGCGGAGGAACAUGUGGUUUAAUUCGAUGAUACGCGAGGAACCUUACCCGGGCUUGAACUGCAGGAGAACGAUACAGAGAUGUUGAGGCCCUUCGGGGCUCCUGUGGAGGUGCUGCAUGGUUGUCGCCAGCUCGUGCCGUGAGGUGUCGGCUUAAGUGCCAUAACGAGCGCAACCCCUUUCUUCAGUUGCCAUCAGGUCGAGCUGGGCACUCUGGAGACACUGCCGCCGUAAGGUGUGAGGAAGGUGGGGAUGACGUCAAAUCAGCACGGCCCUUACGUCCGGGGCUACACACGUGUUACAAUGGGGAGUACAGAGAGUUGAGUGCCGGCAACGUCACUCCAAUCUAUAAAGCUCUCCUCAGUUCGGAUUGGGGUCUGCAACCCGCCCCCGUGAAGCUGGAAUCGCUAGUAAUCGCGCAUCAGCCAUGGCGCGGUGAAUACGUUCCCGGGCCUUGCACACACCGCCCGUCA